This 484-nucleotide ribosomal RNA is filed under the name uncultured bacterium. RNAcentral's name for it is "partial 16S ribosomal RNA". It matches the Rfam family "Bacterial small subunit ribosomal RNA", at positions 30 to 507 of the family's 1533-position model. The record is from RNAcentral.
AUUGAACGCUGGCGGCAGGCCUAACACAUGCAAGUCGAGCGGAUGAAGGGAGCUUGCUCCUGGAUUCAGCGGCGGACGGGUGAGUAAUGCCUAGGAAUCUGCCUGGUAGUGGGGGAUAACGUCCGGAAACGGGCGCUAAUACCGCAUACGUCCUGCGGCAGAAAGAGGGGGAUCUUCGGACCUCACGCUCUCAGAUGAGCCUAGGUCGGAUUAGCUAGUUGGUGGGGUAAGGGCCUACCUAGCCGACGAUCCGUAACUGGUCUGAGAGGAUGAUCAGUCACACGAGAAGUGAGACAGGGUCAAGACGACUACGGGAGGCAGCAGUCGGGAAUAUGGGACAGUGGGCGAAAGCCUGAUCCAGCCAGGCGGCGUGUGUGAAGAAGGCCUUCGGAGUGUAAAGCACGUUAAGUUGGGAGGAAGCGCAGUAAGUUAAUACCUUGCUGUUUUGACGGUACCAACAGAAUAAGCACCGGCUAACUUCGUG